AUGUCUUCAGUCGGAUCAGGGGCUUCGUGUGCAGCCGCAAUCACAACUGGAAGAACGAGAAAAGAUGCAGCCUGGGAGCAUGCUUUACCAAUUACUGAUGAGUUUAGGACCAAGAACAGAGUUGGGUGCAAAUAUUGCUUGAACUUUUAUAAUGGUGGCAUUACAAGAUUUAAGAAGCACUUGGCUGGACUGAGAAAGGACUGUCUACCUUGCACGCAGGUUCCUGAUCAUGUUAGAGAGCAAAUGAGUGCAUUGAUAGCUGAGAAUGAUAAAAAGAAGGAUAAAUCACUAAACAAAAUGUUGGCGCUGCGAGAGGAGUUUUCUCCUGCAGCAAGUGGAAGCUCUCAACUUCCUAAGAAGCCUCUGAUCAAGGGUCCAAUGGACAGGUAUCGUGCACAGCCAGGAACAGGGAAACAAACAACGGUGAAUGUUCAUUACAAGAUCAAAGAAGCAAAGACAACUUAUGAUUAUAUCUGCGAGUUCUUCAUUGAGGCAAUUGGACAGUUUGGUCCAGGAUUGAAGCCACCUACACCUUAUCAGCUUGCCAAUCCUUUGUUGAAGAUACAAGUUAGCAAGGUAGAUGAAAUGUUGAAGGUCCAAAAGGAGGCAUGGGUUUCUAUUGGAUGCUCUAUAAUGACUGAUGCUUGGACAGAUCGCCAUGGAAGGAGCUUAAUGAAUUUGGUUGCCCAUUCUUCCAGAGGCAUGUGUUUCCUCCGUGCCAUUGAAGCUUCAAUGGAGGUUCACGAUGCCAAGUUCAUCUUCAGCUUGCCACUUGCCAAUGUGCUUAGGCGGGUUGAUGGAGACACUCCAGCCAUGGGGUUCUUAUAUGGUGAUCUUCUCCAAGCAAAGCAGGAAAUAGCAGUCCGGCUCAACCAUGUUGAGAAAAAAUAUGGUCCUAUUUGGGAGAUCAUAGAUAGAAGGUGGGAUAACAACAUGAAAACAGCGCUGCACAAAGCUGGUUAUUUUUUGAACCCUUUCUUCUACUAUGAUAGACAGAGUGAAAUGGCUGAAGAAGAUUUCAUGGAAGCAGUCAUAGAGCGUGCAUCUGUUAUGUACAAAAAUAACACAGAGGUGCAAGACAAUAUUGUCUCCCAGCUUAGUUAUUACGCUAAAGACAUAGAUUCAUUUGGAACUGACAUGGCUAUUAGACAACACAAAGUAGCAACUAUCACUCCUGUUCUUCGGCAUGUGAAAGAAAUUGGUCUGCAUCUUGUGAGGGUACAUUCAAAGAAGAGGACCAGACUAGGCCAGAAGAAGUUGAAUGACCUUGUUUAUGUGAUGUUCAACAAGAGGCUGGACUCGAAGUACUCUGAGAGGGAAAGGGACCCACUGCUUGCAAAAUACAUUGAAGAUGGGCCACCAAAUGAGUGGAUGUUGGAUGAAGAGCUACUACAAGAUGAUGAGCCAUCUGAAGAUGAAGCUGAAAUUGAGAUCAAUUCAAAGGGGAAACAAAAAUCUGUAGCUUCAACAACUAGAGGUAAAAGAGCUCGUACAAUUCAAGAUGUUGAAGAUGAGGAGGAAGAGGAGGAAGUGGCUGAAGAAGAGGAGAUGGAAGAAGAGGAUGAGAACCAAGAAGCUGAGGAAGACAAUGAUGAAGACCAGGAAGUCUUCGAUCUGACUGGAGAAGAUGAAUAG
This 1635-nucleotide ribosomal RNA is filed under the name Triticum aestivum (bread wheat). Its description in RNAcentral is "partial small subunit ribosomal RNA". Lineage: Eukaryota; Viridiplantae; Streptophyta; Magnoliopsida; Poales; Poaceae. The record is from RNAcentral.